UACAGAGGUCCCAAGCGUUGUUCGGAUUCACUGGGCGUAAAGAGUGUGUAGGCGGUGCUCUAAGUUCGGUGUGAAAUCUCCCGGCUCAACUGGGAGGGUGCGCCGGAAACUGGGGUGCUGGAGCGCGGGAGAGGAAAGCGGAAUUCCUGGUGUAGCGGUGAAAUGCGUAGAUAUCAGGAGGAACACCUGUGGUGUAGACAGCUUACUGGACCACUUCUGACGCUGAGACACGAAAGCGUGGGUAGCAAACAGG
Molecule: ribosomal RNA, 253 nt
Filed under: uncultured bacterium
Lineage: Bacteria
Description: partial 16S ribosomal RNA
Rfam family: Bacterial small subunit ribosomal RNA
Source: RNAcentral